This is a long non-coding RNA of Rhincodon typus (whale shark), 677 nucleotides long. RefSeq lists it as uncharacterized. NCBI's taxonomy places the organism in Eukaryota, Metazoa, Chordata, Chondrichthyes, Orectolobiformes, Rhincodontidae. The record is from RefSeq and is a predicted model, not a curated record. The transcript is spliced from 3 exons.
GGACUUGUUUAUCAUUGGUUCAAGCCAUGGGAGAUCAUGAGGAUAUUUCUAACCAUGAACACAACCUGACGCUCUCAGAAAGGGUAAUGGAAUGUAAAUGUAAAUAUUAUGACCAUGGAGGAGGAGAGGACUAGCACAGGAUGGAGCAUUCAAAGACAACCCUUCAUUAAAUUUACAGAUUUACACGCUACCAGGAAAGGCCUCAUUAGCCAACAGCCACAGUUUUAGUCUGUGUCUACUUCUAGGUAUCUUUUAAAUUAAUGUGAGCUGAGAUGUGAAUACAUGCCUCUGAAGCGAGUGAGACUCGAACCCAGUCUUUCUGGUUCAGAGUGCGUGGGAGAGAACACUCAACAGAGAAAGGAGACAUAAAGAUGUCAUUGCAGUCAGUUCCUGGUGGUUUUUGUUUGCAUUUCACUAACAGGGUCUGUGUUAAGCUGCAAACAGACCAAUCAGAAGACUGUUACCAUGCUGAACUCCUAUGAACACAGUAACAGAUGGUGCCAUCUGGAUUUGCUGUCCUAAAAAUGUAAAACUGUCUCAUAUGUAUCAUUCUGAGCUUAUUUUUUUCUAAGUUGCAGUUUCCUAUUUUUAUACCUAUUUUUUAAAGCAGUGUCUGUUUUUCUUAUUUUCAGUCCGCAGUCCAAAAUAAAAGACGUAGUCUUUACAAUUUAUCAUGA